This 254-nucleotide long non-coding RNA is filed under the name Setaria italica (foxtail millet). RNAcentral describes it as "long non-coding RNA (SITA_LNC000942)". Lineage: Eukaryota; Viridiplantae; Streptophyta; Magnoliopsida; Poales; Poaceae. The record is from RNAcentral.
CGGAGGACUUUGAUAGCAUGAUUUACCUUUCUUUAUGCAUUAAUAUGGUAAAACUUUGAACUUGUAGUAGAGAUUUCGAUGUGUUAAGAUUGAUUCUUGAAUAUUCACUAUAUUAUUUUUUGUAUUUGGCUGAUAUUAUUUUAUUUUGAAAUGAUCCCGCAGCAACCUACGGGGCACGAUCCUAGUUUUCUUAAAAAAGAAACCGUGUUUAGUACGAGUAGUAGCCACCGGUCGCUUUCCUUUGUAAUCGGCUC